Long non-coding RNA from Chelonia mydas (Green sea turtle), 326 nucleotides. RefSeq lists it as uncharacterized. The record is from RefSeq and is a predicted model, not a curated record. Lineage: Eukaryota; Metazoa; Chordata; Testudines; Cheloniidae. The transcript has 3 exons.
CUGGCAGUACCCCCACAGUCUCUGGGUCUCCCCUCCCCAGGGAACCCCCAACCCCCUAUCCCCACCUCACCUCAGUAUAUGGCUACUGCCAGCCACCACCUAGCCCCUGUUCACUGGGGUGGACUGCAGUGUAUAAGCCACUCAUCACAGGCAAGGGGGAUUUGGACCUGCUGCCUUCACCUACCCUUGGCCUGCCCUGUUGCAACCCCAGUGCCCUGUCUUAGGCCAUUUGCCAGACCUGCAGGCUGGGGCUUUUCCAGCCUGGAGCCUCCCAGCUCCUCUGGCCUUCCCCAGCCCUACUUCACAUCAGAGAUGGGAAGAGGGUC